GCGGCGGCUUACACAUGCAAGUCGAGGGGUAACAGGAGUAGCUUGCUACUUGCUGACGACCGGCGCACGGGUGCGUAACGCGUAUACAAUCUACCUUUUGCUGAGGAAUAGCCCAGAGAAAUUUGGAUUAAUGCCUCAUGGUAUGUAAGUAUGGCAUCAUACUUUCAUUAAAGGUUACGGCAAAAGAUGAGUAUGCGUUCUAUUAGCUAGAUGGUGUGGUAACGGCACACCAUGGCAACGAUAGAUAGGGGCCCUGAGAGGGGGAUCCCCCACACUGGUACUGAGACACGGACCAGACUCCUACGGGAGGCAGCAGUGAGGAAUAUUGGGCAAUGGAGGCAACUCUGACCCAGCCAUGCCGCGUGCAGGAAGACUGCCCUAUGGGUUGUAAACUGCUUUUAUACAGGAAGAAACAGCUCUUCGCGCAAGAGCCUUGACGGUACUGUAAGAAUAAGGAUCGGCUAACUCCGUGCCAGCAGCCGCGGUAAUACGGAGGAUCCAAGCGUUAUCCGGAAUCAUUGGGUUUAAAGGGUCCGUAGGUGGAUAAUUAAGUCAGAGGUGAAAUCCUGCAGCUCAACUGUAGAAUUGCCUUUGAAACUGGUUAUCUUGAGUCAUUAUGAAGUGGUUAGAAUGUGUAGUGUAGCGGUGAAAUGCAUAGAUAUUACACAGAAUACCGAUUGCGA
Molecule: ribosomal RNA, 683 nt
Filed under: uncultured Bacteroidota bacterium
Lineage: Bacteria; Pseudomonadati; Bacteroidota
Description: bacterial SSU rRNA
Rfam family: Bacterial small subunit ribosomal RNA
Source: RNAcentral